CCUACGGGCGGCUGCAGUGGGGAAUAUUGGACAAUGGGCGAAAGCCUGAUCCAGCCAUGCCGCGUGUGUGAAGAAGGCCUUCGGGUUGUAAAGCACUUUCAGUGGGGAAGAAAGCCUUGGGGCUAAUACCCUCGAGGAAGGACAUCACCCACAGAAGAAGCACCGGCUAACUCCGUGCCAGCAGCCGCGGUAAUACGGAGGGUGCGAGCGUUAAUCGGAAUUACUGGGCGUAAAGCGCGCGUAGGCGGUCUGAUAAGCCGGUUGUGAAAGCCCCGGGCUCAACCUGGGAACGGCAUCCGGAACUGUCAGGCUAGAGUGCAGGAGAGGAAGGUAGAAUUCCCGGUGUAGCGGUGAAAUGCGUAGAGAUCGGGAGGAAUACCAGUGGCGAAGGCGGCCUUCUGGACUGACACUGACGCUGAGGUGCGAAAGCGUGGGUAGCAAACAGGACUAGAUACCCGUGUAGUC
This 465-nucleotide ribosomal RNA is filed under the name Vreelandella stevensii. RNAcentral describes it as "partial 16S ribosomal RNA". It matches the Rfam family "Bacterial small subunit ribosomal RNA", at positions 338 to 795 of the family's 1533-position model. The record is from RNAcentral. Lineage: Bacteria; Pseudomonadati; Pseudomonadota; Gammaproteobacteria; Oceanospirillales; Halomonadaceae.